CACGUAGUUAGCCGGUGCUUAUUCUUACGGUACCGUCAUGACUCCAGGGUAUUAACCCGAAGCUUUUCGUUCCGUACAAAAGCAGUUCACAACCCGAAGGCCUUCAUCCUGCACGCGGCAUUGCUGGAUCAGGCUUUCGCCCAUUGUCCAAAAUUCCCCACUGCUGCCUCCCGUAGGAGUCUGGGCCGUGUCUCAGUCCCAGUGUGGCUGGUCGUCCUCUCAGACCAGCUACAGAUCGUCGGCUUGGUAAGCUUUUAUCCCACCAACUACCUAAUCUGCCAUCGGCCGCUCCAGUUGCGCAAGGUCUUACGAUCCCCUGCUUUCAACCUCAGUUCUCAUGCGGUAUUAGCUACUCUUUCGAGUAGUUAUCCCCCACAACUGGGCACGUUCCGAUGUAUUACUCACCCGUUCGCCACUCGCCACCAGACCGAAGUCCGUGCUGCCGUUCGACUUGCAUGUGUAAAGCAUGCCGCCAGCGUUACAAUCUGACGCCAGGAUCUAAA
RNAcentral lists this ribosomal RNA (503 nucleotides) under uncultured Comamonas sp. RNAcentral describes it as "partial 16S ribosomal RNA". Lineage: Bacteria; Pseudomonadati; Pseudomonadota; Betaproteobacteria; Burkholderiales; Comamonadaceae. The record is from RNAcentral.